RNAcentral lists this long non-coding RNA (651 nucleotides) under Bos taurus (domestic cattle). RNAcentral describes it as "long non-coding RNA NONBTAT010918". The record is from RNAcentral. Lineage: Eukaryota; Metazoa; Chordata; Mammalia; Artiodactyla; Bovidae.
UUUUAAAUAUUCCCUAGCACUAUUAAAUUUUAAGGAAGUAUGCUUAGAAAUCACAUUAUUCUCUUGUAGAGUUUCAGUUGCCCAGCAAUAUCAUUAAAUCCUCUGGAGUGAUUCCAGCCCCAUAAAAAUUAGGGACCCCUUUACAUUGUUUCCAUAUUCAAAUGGAAAUCUUUUUGCAAGUUAGUAAUUAAAGUAUUUAACCUCUCUCUCCCUCCAUUUAUUAGAAAACUCUUUUUUCUUUAUUUUUUCAAUUACGAAAAACUGCUAAAGCCAAUCAUGCAUUUAUUUUGAUAAACCGCUUGUAACAGUCUCAGCUAAAUUCUGCAAAUACAAAAAAAAAAAAAGCUAAAUAAUCACCCUGAGCAGAUUUUGUAGAGACCUUACUCAACCUGUUCAGGGAUAAUUAUGCCGAGCUUUUAGUAUGGGGCAAAGGAAAACAUAAAAUUAAGGCAUGAAAGAAAGUCUACCUAUUUUGAGAAAAUACUGGGAUAAUUGGUACUCUUUUUAUUGCCAUUUUAUUAUACAAAGAUAUUGUCUUGCCAUGAAAUAUAGGUUUAGAGCAGUGAAAUAGUACUAUGUGGGGUUGAGAGAAUUUCUGUGGUAGAUGGAUUGAUUUAAAAUGUAAUAAAAAUAGCAAAUUGCUAAACAAUG